This 549-nucleotide ribosomal RNA is filed under the name uncultured bacterium. Its description in RNAcentral is "bacterial SSU rRNA". It matches the Rfam family "Bacterial small subunit ribosomal RNA", at positions 365 to 908 of the family's 1533-position model. The record is from RNAcentral.
UCGGCAAUGGGCGAAAGCCUGACCGAGCGACGCCGCGUGCGGGAUGAAGGCCUUCGGGUUGCAAACCGCUGUCGUAGAGGAGGAAAUGCAGGGGGGUUCUCCCUCCUGUUUGACCUAUUCUAGGAGGAAGGACGGGCUAAGUUCGUGCCAGCAGCCGCGGUAAGACGAACCGUCCAAACGUUACUCGGAAUUACUGGGCUUAAAGGGUGCGUAGGCUGCGCGGAAAGUUGGGUGUGAAAUCCCUCAGCUCAACUGGGGAAUUGCAUUCAAAACUACCGUGCUCGAGGGAGACAGAGGUAAGCGGAACUCAAGGUGGAGCGGUGAAAUGCGUUGAUAUCUUGAGGAACACCGGUGGCGAAAGCGGCUUACUGGGUCUCUUCUGACGCUGAGGCACGAAAGCUAAGGUAGCAAACGGGAUUAGAUACCCCGGUAGUCUUAGCUGUAAACGAUGAGCACUUGUUUGAAGGGUCCUCCAUAGCCUUUCAGACGUAGCGAAAGUGUUAAGUGCUCCGCCUGGGGAGUAUGGUCGCAAGGCUGAAACUCAAAGAA